UAACACGUGAGNAACCUGCCUUUCANAGGGGGAGUAACAGUUGGAACGACUGCUAAUACCGCAUAACGCUGCGAUGGGGCAUCCCGAUGCAGCCAAAGGAGCAAUCCGCUGGAAGAUGGGCUCGCGGCCGAUUAGCUAGUUGGUGGGGCAACGGCCCACCAAGGCGACGAUCGGUAGCCGGACUGAGAGGUUGAUCGGCCACAUUGGGACUGAGACACGGCCCAGACUCCUACGGGAGGCAGCAG
RNAcentral lists this ribosomal RNA (245 nucleotides) under uncultured bacterium. RNAcentral describes it as "partial 16S ribosomal RNA". It matches the Rfam family "Bacterial small subunit ribosomal RNA", at positions 111 to 354 of the family's 1533-position model. The record is from RNAcentral.